AUUGAACGCUGGCGGCAGGCCUAACACAUGCAAGUCGAGCGAGCGGCGGACGGGUGAGUAUUGUAUGGGGACUGCCCGAUAGAGGGGGAUAACUACUGGAAACGGUGGCUAAUACCGCAUACUAUCGGAUAACCCAUAUGGGGUUAGCUAGUAGGUGGGGUAAAGGCUCACCUUGGCGACGAUCUCUAGCUGGUCUGCGAGGAUGAUCAGCAACACUGGGACUGAGAAACGGCCCAGACUCCGACGGAGGCAGCAGUGGGGAGAAUUGCACAAGGGGCGCAAGCCUGAUGCAGCCAUGCCGCGUGUAUGAAGAAGGCCUUAGGGUUGUAAAGUACUUUCAGCGGGGAGGCGUUACCCGGAGAAGAAGCACCGGCUAACUCAGUGCCAGAAGCGGCGGUAAUUC
RNAcentral lists this ribosomal RNA (403 nucleotides) under uncultured bacterium. RNAcentral's name for it is "partial 16S ribosomal RNA". It matches the Rfam family "Bacterial small subunit ribosomal RNA", at positions 30 to 526 of the family's 1533-position model. The record is from RNAcentral.